GUGAGUCAUCGAAUCUUUGAACGCAACUUGCGGCCGCCGGCAUUCCGGCGGCCAUGCCUGUCCGAGCGCCACUACAACCCCUCAGGCCCCGUGCCUGGCGUUGGGGUGCUACCUAUUGCUGGUGGCGCCCCGAAACACAGUGGCAGCGGCGCCCGCGGCGCGACGUGUGUAGUAACAUCACUGGCACGAAGCCCCGGCGUUGCCCGCCGACAAGAACCCCAACCUCUCAUCAGGUUGGCCUCGGAUCAGGUAGGAUUACCCGCUGAACUUAAGCAUAUCAAUAAGCGGAGGA
Molecule: unclassified non-coding RNA, 292 nt
Filed under: Badarisama sp.
Lineage: Eukaryota; Fungi; Ascomycota
Description: partial contains 5.8S ribosomal RNA, internal transcribed spacer 2, and large subunit ribosomal RNA
Rfam family: 5.8S ribosomal RNA (bases 1-71)
Source: RNAcentral